AAAUUGAAGAGUUUGAUCAUGGCUCAGAUUGAACGCUGGCGGCAGGCCUAACACAUGCAAGUCGAACGGUAACAGGAAGCAGCUUGCUGCUUCGCUGACGAGUGGCGGACGGGUGAGUAAUGUCUGGGAAACUGCCUGAUGGAGGGGGAUAACUACUGGAAACGGUGGCUAAUACCGCAUAACGUCGCAAGACCAAAGAGGGGGACCUUCGGGCCUCUUGCCAUCAGAUGUGCCCAGAUGGGAUUAGCUAGUUGGUGAGGUAACGGCUCACCAAGGCGACGAUCCCUAGCUGGUCUGAGAGGAUGACCAGCCACACUGGAACUGAGACACGGUCCAGACUCCUACGGGAGGCAGCAGUGGGGAAUAUUGCACAAUGGGCGCAAGCCUGAUGCAGCCAUGCCGCGUGUAUGAAGAAGGCCUUCGGGUUGUAAAGUACUUUCAGCGGGGAGGAAGGUGUUGUGGUUAAUAACCGCAGCAAUUGACGUUACCCGCAGAAGAAGCACCGGCUAACUCCGUGCCAGCAGCCGCGGUAAUACGGAGGGUGCAAGCGUUAAUCGGAAUUACUGGGCGUAAAGCGCACGCAGGCGGUCUGUCAAGUCGGAUGUGAAAUCCCCGGGCUCAACCUGGGAACUGCAUUCGAAACUGGCAGGCUUGAGUCUUGUAGAGGGGGGUAGAAUUCCAGGUGUAGCGGUGAAAUGCGUAGAGAUCUGGAGGAAUACCGGUGGCGAAGGCGGCCCCCUGGACAAAGACUGACGCUCAGGUGCGAAAGCGUGGGGAGCAAACAGGAUUAGAUACCCUGGUAGUCCACGCCGUAAACGAUGUCUACUUGGAGGUUGUGCCCUUGAGGCGUGGCUUCCGGAGCUAACGCGUUAAGUAGACCGCCUGGGGAGUACGGCCGCAAGGUUAAAACUCAAAUGAAUUGACGGGGGCCCGCACAAGCGGUGGAGCAUGUGGUUUAAUUCGAUGCAACGCGAAGAACCUUACCUGGUCUUGACAUCCACAGAACUUUCCAGAGAUGGAUUGGUGCCUUCGGGAACUGUGAGACAGGUGCUGCAUGGCUGUCGUCAGCUCGUGUUGUGAAAUGUUGGGUUAAGUCCCGCAACGAGCGCAACCCUUAUCCUUUGUUGCCAGCGGUUAGGCCGGGAACUCAAAGGAGACUGCCAGUGAUAAACUGGAGGAAGGUGGGGAUGACGUCAAGUCAUCAUGGCCCUUACGACCAGGGCUACACACGUGCUACAAUGGCGCAUACAAAGAGAAGCGACCUCGCGAGAGCAAGCGGACCUCAUAAAGUGCGUCGUAGUCCGGAUUGGAGUCUGCAACUCGACUCCAUGAAGUCGGAAUCGCUAGUAAUCGUGGAUCAGAAUGCCACGGUGAAUACGUUCCCGGGCCUUGUACACACCGCCCGUCACACCAUGGGAGUGGGUUGCAAAAGAAGUAGGUAGCUUAACCUUCGGGAGGGCGCUUACCACUUUGUGAUUCAUGACUGGGGUGAAGUCGUAACAAGGUAACCGUAGGGGAACCUGCGGUUGGAUCACCUCCUUACCUUAAAGAUGC
Molecule: ribosomal RNA, 1554 nt
Filed under: Salmonella enterica subsp. enterica
Lineage: Bacteria; Pseudomonadati; Pseudomonadota; Gammaproteobacteria; Enterobacterales; Enterobacteriaceae
Description: bacterial SSU rRNA
Rfam family: Bacterial small subunit ribosomal RNA
Source: RNAcentral